GGAACUGGGCGCAGCCUGAUCCAGCCAUACCGCGUGGGUGAAGAAGGCCUUCGGGUUGUAAAGCGCCUUUUGUUGGGAAAGAAAUCCAGCUGGCUAAUACCCGGUUGGGAUGACGGUACCCAAAGAAUAAGCACCGGCUAACUUCGUGCCAGCAGCCGCGGUAAUACGAAGGGUGCAAGCGUUACUCGGAAUUACUGGGCGUAAAGCGUGCGUAGGUGGUCGUUUAAGUCCGUUGUGAAAGCCCUGGGCUCAACCUGGGAACUGCAGUGGAUACUGGGCGACUAGAGUGUGGUAGAGGGUAGCGGAAUUCCUGGUGUAGCAGUGAAAUGCGUAGAGAUCAGGAGGAACAUCCAUGGCGAAGGCAGCUACCUGGACCAACACUGACACUGAGGCACGAAAGCGUGGGGAGCAAACAGGAUUAGAUACCCUGGUAGUCCACGCCCUAAACGAUGCGAACUGGAUGUUGGGUGCAAUUUGGCACGCAGUAUCGAAGCUAACGCGUUAAGUUCGCCGCCUGGGGAGUACGGUCGCAAGACUGAAACUCAAGGAAUUUGACGGA
RNAcentral lists this ribosomal RNA (559 nucleotides) under uncultured bacterium. Its description in RNAcentral is "bacterial SSU rRNA". It matches the Rfam family "Bacterial small subunit ribosomal RNA", at positions 367 to 917 of the family's 1533-position model. The record is from RNAcentral.